AGGUGGUGAAUACGUCUUGCUAUGGCCCUGAAAGAUGUUUGGCAAUGAUGAUUGACAGCAUGCCUUAUAUGGCGAAUAUGUUAUUAGAUAAAUGUGUAACUACUAAAGGAACAAAAGACCAUCCAGACGAUUAUCAAGUUAUGUAUGAUUUCUUUUGCCUUGAAUCAAAAGGUAAUUGACGCAAGGUAGUAUUUUCCUGGGAAGGUUGACGCACAGCAUUGUAUUAUUUUUUGAGAUAAAUUAGUCCGUAUAGGCAGCCUAAUUGCAGUGCGGCAGAUAGUUACAAGAAAUAGGCAUGAAAUGGCGUCCAUUUUUAUUUGUGCCCGUUUGAGACAUUUGAAGAGAGUUUGCCGGAUAUGCACGAGUCUGUAAAUAUUAUCUGAAACGGGUACAAUCAACAAUGAAAGCCUUCGUUCACAUAAUGCGUGGGUCAGCCUUUCAUAUCGGGUUCAUAUAUGACUACCAUCUUGCUUUCUUUUACAUAAAGAUAAGAAUGGUAGCUGUCCUCUUUUUGAAGCUCUGGGCCAAAUGGCGGAGAAAACAUGCGAGGUUUGCUUGCGUCAUCCAGUAGCUGUGAAGUAUGUCGACAUAAAAUGGAGGAAACGAGGAUUCAAAUACACUAUAGGUUUAAUAUUGCUAACCUUGAUCUUUCAUAUAUGCCUCAUGAUUUAUACAACACGAGUUAUUGGUGUGGUGAACAAGCGCACUGAAUUAAGACGUAAGUACUUAUAUAUGAAUCACAUGGCGACAAAUGUUUCCGUUUCACUGUGGCCUGCAUGGCAGGCGGUUCCUAAAAUUGGGCAAGCCUGGGAAAUACCGCCUGCUGGGUUUGGCAGUGUAAUCGAAUUCCCCGUCCACCAGUGGACGGGAAUUGAUGAUUGGCUGCGAGUCUGAGCCGCUGUCACUCAAAAGUGAAUACACUUUAAUAUGUAUUUAAAGUUUGACACUUUAAUGUGCAUGCGUUCGCUUUAAUUAAUAGGUGUUGUAAAACUGAACGCUUCUCGAAAGUCGAAACGCAAACUGAUUGUCAAACGCGAGCAAGAGAUAGCAGUUAAAGAUUUACUCCUUGGAAAGAAUGUUUUGGCCAUUCUAUGGGAAAAGCCUGAUUUUUACAUUGUUCUUGUUGGUGCGAGAAAACAUAACGAGAAUAGAUACAGACGGCCGCAUAAUCUUUCUUGCAACGGGUUUUAUAACAAUAACAGGACUAUUACGCCUAGCCCGCCUAGGCCUAUUAGCCGCUUCACUUUCUAAACUUUUUAAGGCUUUCGUUACCACACAGCUUCGUUAGGGAGAUGAGACAGUUAGUAUUGGCAACUGAGGUUUUUAAUAUACAACUGUCUAUUUCAGAGGCCGCGGAAGCAUUUCGAAAGUGGAGGGGCAUUGACCGAAAGGGGCACUUUUGUAUAUGACCAGAAUCAAACGAUUUUAUGACGUUCACGAACCGAACGAAAAUUUUUGAAAAUAUGGAGUCUCUCUAACGUCGGAAAUGGCCUUUACAGAGUCUUUACUACUGCGAAAAGGGCAUUUUCUUUCCAGAAAAAGAGGGCGUUUAUUCAAGAAAUACUUUUUUCGUUUUUUAAAUGGGGCAUUUUAGCCCAGAAAAAAGGGCACUUUUUCAUUUUUAAGAAAAGUGGGGGGGCACAUGCCCCCAUUGCCCCCCCGGUUCCGCGGCCCCUGGUCUAUUUGUUCGAACGUACACAGGCAACGCGUUUAUGUCUCGUUUGAUUAUAAAUGGCAAUCAGUUCGCUUGCAUUUCGGAUAUUUCGCUUACACGGUUUACAAACUUGGUCGGAUAGUUCCGAGGUAGAAUUAACUUCGAUUCCUUAAUGAACUGAACCGGCAAUUCGACUUAUUUCGGCCAAGGUUUUACCACUGUCGUAACGUUUCUUUUGCUUGCCUUAAAUAAAUAAUUUCUCCGACGAUAUAUAAGAAUAUAAGAUAUUUUCUCUAUUGGCGUAUUGCCCCGUAUUUUAGUUUCAAAGCACACUUAAACAAACGACAAGUCAUUUACAUUUUCCGCGCUUGCUUUUCUACCUGAAACUUUCAAUGGCGUUUCUCUCGACAUAUUUUUAUACAUUUGCAAUUUUGCGAUCCAAACAAUAACAUAGUUUGACAGUUUGAUUAUUAAUAUAUUUAGUGUUUGCUGAUUGGCUAAUUGGACCCGGACAAAAAAGUGGGCGGUUAUCAAAUUACACUGCCAAACCCAGCAGGCGGUAUUUUAGACCGCCUGCCAUGCAGGCUAUUUUCACUGUAGCCUAAUUCUUAAUUAUAACCGUCAUAUUUGUAUUGGAUCAACAGUAUUUUAUAUAUUGGAUCAUGCUGGCGGAUCAGCAGUCACUGCUGAUCACUUUGAUCAAAGAGCUUAAAUUCGCUCUGAAAUCCGUGAGGGAAUAACAAAAUUCGGC
Paramuricea clavata is the source of this 2405-nucleotide non-coding RNA. NCBI's taxonomy places the organism in Eukaryota, Metazoa, Cnidaria, Anthozoa, Malacalcyonacea, Plexauridae. The record is from the annotation of a GenBank genome assembly.